This is a long non-coding RNA of Leucoraja erinaceus (little skate), 1549 nucleotides long. RefSeq lists it as uncharacterized. The record is from RefSeq and is a predicted model, not a curated record. Lineage: Eukaryota; Metazoa; Chordata; Chondrichthyes; Rajiformes; Rajidae. The transcript has 3 exons.
AGGAUGUAUUUGGACAAUUUAACAUGAUAGAGACCCACUUUAGAAUCCCAGGUGCCUCAAACAAGCAGACUACUGAGGAAGUUCAGUCACAGAACGCUCUGCUUUUUCUAACCGUUUACCACACCAUACCUGAAUACGUUCCUGAAGUGGUCAAGUGGUCCGGAGAAGGCGCCACGCUGGGAAAAGAUGUACAGUUGCUACACAUUUCCGCAUUUUAUCUUCUUGGACAGUGAUGGCCAAAACCUAGGGCUUGAACGACUAUGUUCGGGUGAGAGCAGAAGACCACGAGCCAAAACUGUUGCUGAAGCUUCUUGUGUUUGACAGAUUAGCAAUGGAAGGCUGUUAGCCAUUUGCAGAAAUGUGGCAUUAGCAUGUCAUCACUUGCUAAUCUUUCUACUGUGCAUGCGAGGCCUGGUACAGGAGCUGGUUUUAGCCAGAGACUUGAGUCCUGCUUCAGAGUUAGUUAAAACUCUCCACUCUAUCUGUCCCACAGCCACAGAGUCAAGAAGACCAUCUUUGUCUGGGCAGCUGCCCUUUCCAUUGGACUUACGAAGAUGGGCUCUUUGACUCUCUGCCAAAGUCUUCAACCACCCAUUGCCAAAGUCUUCAACCACCCAUCUUGUCACCUAUCCAAUGCUCUCCAUCAUCUGCAUGACAUUCCCAAUCUACCCAAACCCUCCCAUCUUCUGUCAAUUCAUGCUUCCAUCAUCUGCCUUGUGCUCCCUGUAAAAUGCCGGAACCUUAAUCAUAAGUCUGAGCUCACUACAAUGCCACUUUAGAUAUUCAGUUAAUUCCCUGUCAAUUCAACUGUGCUAUUCUUCUGUUCAGUCACUUGCUUGUGCUUGCUACAAUGAUGGAGGAGGAGGGCGGUUUUACCACAAACAAUGCAACAUGCCUUAGGCUUUGUGCAGGUUACAGGUUGGAUUUCCUAGUUCUAUGAGGAAACUAGCAACUCACCCUCUCCCUGUUACAAUAGGCACAAAGGCAAGAGCAAACACACGUCCUUCAAAUGGCAUACUUCUAUGUGUGCAUUAUCUGUGUGUGUGUGUGUGUGUGUGUGUGUGUGUGUGUGUGUGUGUGUGUGUGUGUGUGUGUGCGUGUGUGUGCGUGCAUGCGCAUGUGUAAAAAUGCAAAUUUCCUCGAAGAUAUCGAAUAUCAUAAUGCUGUUAUGCCUUAUGUGGCAAUAGUUCAAUGAAGUACGUGCAAUAGGUUCACAACCCAUUGUCCUACAGGUUCAAAAUAAUGCUAAGUAUAAAUUCUGCAAUCAGUUCUCAUUUUCAAAUUGCAAAUAUAAGCAAGUACGUAUUUCUUUUUUCUAAAGAGUUCAAGAACAAAUCUACAUUAACUAAGAGUAACUGAAACCCAAGUUUACAUGUCAGAGACAAACGUACUACAAUCUGCUGGUAACACAAACAAUGUUAAAAUUACCCCCCAAAAGUUUUUUCUUUAUCAUUAUCUAGGCAUAAAUCUCGCACAAUUUACUGCUAUAUAACUGACUUCUUGUGAAUUAGAAGCUAAAAUAAAUAAAAAAAUUUUUUUGCAUUUUAUA